This is a long non-coding RNA of Diorhabda sublineata, 3510 nucleotides long. RefSeq lists it as uncharacterized. The transcript is spliced from 2 exons. The record is from RefSeq and is a predicted model, not a curated record. Lineage: Eukaryota; Metazoa; Arthropoda; Insecta; Coleoptera; Chrysomelidae.
GAAUAUCAAAAAUAUUUAUUAUUAUAAAGCAUAAAUAAUCCUUCUAUGUCCUAUUCAUACAAUUAAAAAAUUUCCAUUUGAAAUUACUUCACGUCUAUACGACUCCAACUGUUUGAUAAAUAAUUCUUUGAUUUUGAAUUUUGCCGCGCUUAACGUCGAUAAAGUAGAGAUAAUGUCAAGCGACCGUGAAUGUUGCCAGAAUUUAAAGAACCACAUAUAUAUAUAUAUAUAAAGAAUUUUGAACCAACAUUUUGGAUUGAUAUUUCUAUCGAAAUUUGAAGGAUUUUAAUGCAAAACUUUAUAUUUAGCAAUAUUCAAUAAACAUAUUCAUUUUUAUUAAAAUUAUUUUAAUUAAAAUCAAUUUUAGCAACGCCACUGUUCUCAAACAAGAUAAAUAUUCUGUUUGUGUAUAUAUAAUUUUUUGGUUAAAUAUUUUGUUAUGGUUGCAACUCUCCUCUGUUCUAAAUAGAUAUAAUAGAUUUGUCACUAAGUUGAAGGAAAUUCGUGAAAAAAAUCUGGCAACAUAGAAAGAAAUAAUUAAGUUACUGAAGGAAAUUCCGAAGUCAAAGUAUAACUGAAAUCAAUACUCGUACAUAGGGGGAAAUUACAUUAUAAACGUUGGUAGUCGUACAGUAAUGGUUUUCAGCGUUGUCAGAUUUAUUGCCAUUGUUUUCUGUCGUUUUUCAUAAAUAAUUGAUCAAUUUUUCUGUUUUUUAUAGUUUUUCAUAAAUAGUUGAAACAAUUAUAAUUAUUGCUCAUAUUUUGUAAUAAAUGUCACCACAGUAAGUAAAAUAUAAUUUAUGCAAACAACUGCAAAAAAUUACGAAGUGGCGACGCUGUAGAAUAUUUGUCAUCCAUAUUCUAAUUAUGUAAACUUAACCUAAAAGUUGUUUAAGUUUUUUUAAGGUAGAAUGAACUGAAUUCUUUAUGUAUUUGUAGUGUAGGUUAUAUAAAAAAACUUUAUUUUACUGAACACAAAAUAAUGGACAAAAGUUAAGGUCCAACCCACUGCUCGAUAAGGAAACCUUCAUUGUAAUGGCUCCUUAUUAAACCUAUCAACAUUUCUACAGAAAAAGUUGGUAAAAUCCAAUUUUUUUUCAAAACCGGCCAACCUCCGAGAUGAUCCAGAACGUCCCUGAUUGGUCUAUCUCCAAUUUUACGAAUAUUGUCUACAAUAUAUGCAUUAUUUUCAAAACUGUCGCACCGUAUCUAUCUUUAGAACGUUAUCAAUAUUUUCAGAUUACUUCUGACGAUAUUUUUUUGAUCUAUAUGAUAUUUCGAUGAAAUUUAAAACAACCAUACUUAUAUAAAGUGAAAUUCACUUGUUUCGAUCAUAUCCCGGGAAUCUUCAGUUAUAGCAGUUUGCUUUGGUAUUUCAUUUUGUAAUUUAAACAGUGUUGCCACUUUAAUCAAGAGGCUAGCAAUUCAAAAAGUAAUAUAUUUCGUUAUUUGUUCACAUAUACUUACGUAAAUCCAUGCAGGUACCAUAAAACAGCUUGGCUUUCCUCGUUGCCUCACUAUCAUUGAGAUUCAUAGGUUUUUCGAGAACCCCUACGAUUGUAAACCAAAAAUUACUGAUUUAGAUCUGCACACAUUAGAAACAAUGUUAUUUCUUAUAUUUUCUUGGCUGGUUUUUGGAUAGUACCAGCAAUGGGUAAGCUAUCGUGACGCAUCUAACAAAUGGUGUAACUGAAACCUGUCAUGAGACAUCCGAGACUCCGUAUACACACUAUCAGCAUCACCGACGACCCGGAGUGCCGCUGGUGCAUGGAAGAGGAUGAAACCUCGGGCCACGUCAUCUGUGAAUGCUCAGAACUCGCGCGAGCGCAAUUUAAACACCCUAAUAACAUCAAAAUGUUCGAGCUAAAGCGCCUGAUCGGCUUCCCAAAGGACAUCAAGUGGGGCACGAAGGGCCUAUCUGAAUGCCUAUGUGUUCAACGACCCCUGGGAGGCCACUAUGCAACUAUGAACAUCUGAUAGAUUUUUUUAUCAAUAAAUGAUUACCUUACCUUUGAGAAUUACCUGUAAUUGAUCCGCCAUAACCUCAAACGUACUUAUAGAACUUCUAUCUUCGGGUAUUAAAUGAAUUUUGUUCCAAGUGCCGCAUGCGUAUUGGAAAAAAUCUACGCAAGGAUCGGCGGUUCGGUCCAUGGCGGCCAAUAACGACGAUGCUACAAAUACAGUUCGUUAUUUAAUUUUGAUUUUAUUUAUAUUAUACUUACCAGUGCGUACACAUUCUUCCGUCAAGCAAAUUGUUUUCUUCUUUACUAAAAACGUAAAAUAAUCUAUUGAAAAAUAUUGUACGAGUCAAUGAUGUUGAUAAUUUUGGACAGAACCAAUUCAAACAUUAUUUAGGUAUUAGUAUUAUAAGUGAAAUACAAGCGCUACCUAUGUGAGAGUAGCCGAACUAGCCACUUAUAAUACCCUAAAUUCUUGUAGAGGUAACUUCUUAAAACAAGUAUCCAUAAAUAAUACAACGACGCCAUCUAUGUGCGAGAAGAUUGUCUGGGAACAGUUUUGAAACUUCUCACUAGAAAAUUUCUGUAUUUGACACUAAAUGGCGACACCAUACGCAACGAUAGCUUCAAGAAUAUGUUUAUAAAGUAUUUAAUAUUUUUAUUAUUAUUUUAUAAAUGUGUUUUUGUGCAGAAUUAAACGAGGUUUUAUCAUAUUCUAUCCGUACCUUUCCCUCUCCCUAUAUUAUUAUGUAAUGCGAAAUGAUUUCUCGUUAGCGCGAUAGAUGGCGCCAUCAUAAAUGCAUCAAAUAUUCGUAUAAUUCAAAACACAGAAAUAUUUUCCUAGCGAUUCCGGAUUUACGAUGUGCUGUAUUACUGUUUAUAUGUAAUUAUAAUGAAUUUAUCAAUUAAUUGUAUACAUUUUGUAAAUAUCGGUAGUACAGUGUUGCCCCCUAACGGUGAAUAGCAGAAAUAAUUCAUGUGUUAAAAGUUAACUUAAGGGAAUGAGUGAUUUUAAUUUUUUUUAUUUGAAAAUAAUAAAAUCAAAAAUAUAUUUAAUUGUUUUAAAUUAAAAUUAAACAACUUUGAAGCCUAUUAUGAUUAAGAAGGAUAAAUUUUACGUUUAUUUAAUAAAUUUGUACGUUGAAAAGAGAUUUAAAUUUCGCGCUAUAAAUAAAAUUUAAAUUUGCCGGUAAAAUAGGUGAUGUUUUUAGCGCUAGAUGUCAUCAGAACAAAUAACAGUCUUUAGUAAUCAUAUUUAAGGUACCAUAUUAUUUAAAACUACUCUAACUACUACUUCAUAGAUGGCGGGGCCGUAGUAUUUCCAUUUAUUCCAUAAAUUACUACCUAUGAAAUUGUUUACAUGCUUUAAAACAAUUUUUAUAAAAGAAAACUUUGAAAUUACUGCUAGGAUAUUAAAAAAAAUUUUCCAUUGUAGUAAAAUUAACGUAUUUUUGAUUAAAUACGAGGUGAUACGUUACUUAUGAAUAUAUUUGUUACGUGGAAGUAUAUUUUAAUAAUAUUAAGGUGAAUAAAAUGUUCAAAUAUUUCGACU